This 403-nucleotide ribosomal RNA is filed under the name uncultured bacterium. RNAcentral's name for it is "partial 16S ribosomal RNA". It matches the Rfam family "Bacterial small subunit ribosomal RNA", at positions 28 to 526 of the family's 1533-position model. The record is from RNAcentral.
GACGAACGCUGGCGGCGUGCCUAAUACAUGCAAGUCGAACGCAGUGGGGACGGGGGAGUAACACGUGGGUAACCUCCCAUCAGAGGGGAUAACACUUGGAAACAGGUGCUAAACCGAUACUGAUGGAUGGACCCGCGGUGCAUGAGGUAUUUGGUGAGGUAACGGCUCACCAAGGCCACGAUGAAUAGGCGACCGUAGAGGGUGAGCGGCCACACUGGGACUGGCACAGGGCCCAGACGCCCACGGUAGGCAGCAGUAGGGAAUCUUCGGCAAUGGACGAAAGUUUGACCGAGCAAGGCCGCGUGAGUGAAGAAGUUUUUCGGAUCGUAAAACUCUGUUGUUAGAGAAGCGGUAUCUAACCAGAAAGCCACGGCUAACUACGUGCCAGCAGCCGCGGUAAUUC